RNAcentral lists this ribosomal RNA (1022 nucleotides) under Penicillium aurantiogriseum. Its description in RNAcentral is "SSU rRNA". It matches the Rfam family "Eukaryotic small subunit ribosomal RNA", at positions 75 to 1106 of the family's 1831-position model. Lineage: Eukaryota; Fungi; Ascomycota; Eurotiomycetes; Eurotiales; Aspergillaceae. The record is from RNAcentral. RNAcentral also lists the same sequence under 1 other name.
UGUACUGUGAAACUGCGAAUGGCUCAUUAAAUCAGUUAUCGUUUAUUUGAUAGUACCUUACUACAUGGAUACCUGUGGUAAUUCUAGAGCUAAUACAUGCUAAAAACCCCGACUUCAGGAAGGGGUGUAUUUAUUAGAUAAAAAACCAACGCCCUUCGGGGCUCCUUGGUGAAUCAUAAUAACUUAACGAAUCGCAUGGCCUUGCGCCGGCGAUGGUUCAUUCAAAUUUCUGCCCUAUCAACUUUCGAUGGUAGGAUAGUGGCCUACCAUGGUGGCAACGGGUAACGGGGAAUUAGGGUUCGAUUCCGGAGAGGGAGCCUGAGAAACGGCUACCACAUCCAAGGAAGGCAGCAGGCGCGCAAAUUACCCAAUCCCGAUACGGGGAGGUAGUGACAAUAAAUACUGAUACGGGGCUCUUUUGGGUCUCGUAAUUGGAAUGAGAACAAUUUAAAUCCCUUAACGAGGAACAAUUGGAGGGCAAGUCUGGUGCCAGCAGCCGCGGUAAUUCCAGCUCCAAUAGCGUAUAUUAAAGUUGUUGCAGUUAAAAAGCUCGUAGUUGAACCUUGGGCCUGGCUGGCCGGUCCGCCUCACCGCGAGUACUGGUCCGGCUGGGCCUUUCCUUCUGGGGAACCUCAUGGCCUUCACUGGCUGUGGGGGGAACCAGGACUUUUACUGUGAAAAAAUUAGAGUGUUCAAAGCAGGCCUUUGCUCGAAUACAUUAGCAUGGAAUAAUAGAAUAGGACGUGUGGUUCUAUUUUGUUGGUUUCUAGGACCGCCGUAAUGAUUAAUAGGGAUAGUCGGGGGCGUCAGUAUUCAGCUGUCAGAGGUGAAAUUCUUGGAUUUGCUGAAGACUAACUACUGCGAAAGCAUUCGCCAAGGAUGUUUUCAUUAAUCAGGGAACGAAAGUUAGGGGAUCGAAGACGAUCAGAUACCGUCGUAGUCUUAACCAUAAACUAUGCCGACUAGGGAUCGGACGGGAUUCUAUAAUGACCCGUUCGGCACCUUACGAGAAAUCAAAGUUU